RNAcentral lists this ribosomal RNA (262 nucleotides) under uncultured Chaetomium. RNAcentral describes it as "partial large subunit ribosomal RNA". It matches the Rfam family "Eukaryotic large subunit ribosomal RNA", at positions 40 to 304 of the family's 3401-position model. The record is from RNAcentral. Lineage: Eukaryota; Fungi; Ascomycota; Sordariomycetes; Sordariales; Chaetomiaceae.
AUAUCAAUAAGCGGAGGAAAAGAAACCAACAGGGAUUGCCUCAGUACGGCGAGUGAAGCGGCAACAGCUCAAAUUUGAAAUCUGGCCCCCUCGGGGUCCGAGUUGUAAUUUGCAGAGGAAGCUUCUGGCGCGGUGCCGUCCGAGUCCCCUGGAACGGGGCGCCAUAGAGGGUGAGAGCCCCGUAUGGAUGGAUGCCUAGCCCGUGUGAAGCUCCUUCGACGAGUCGAGUAGUUUGGGAAUGCUGCUCAAAUGGGAGGUAAAU